GGGAGGAACCUUCCUGUUUUGGCUAAAACUGUCCCUCAGUCUGCUGAGGCUGGGAUCUCAUGACUCACUCUGAGCUUCCUCGUUCCUGAGUUCAUAUUUUAAGUACUCAAUAGAGAGAAACUCCAGUUCCUUAGACAGACACGUGACUGAGUUAGGGUUGUCUUAGUUAGCGUUGCUAUUUUGAUGAGGAAACCCUGCGACCAAAAUCAAGCUGGGAGGAAAGGAUUUAUCUGACUUCCACUGCCACACCGUAGUCCAUCAUCAGAGGAAGUUAGGACAGGAGCUCAAACAGGGCAGAAACCCAGAGACAGGAGCUGAUGCAGAUGCCAUGGAGGGAUGCUGCUUACUGGCUUGCUCCUCAUGACUUGCUCACCCCAAUUGCUUAUAGAGCCUGAACCACCUGCUCAGUAGUGGCUACCCGUAAUGAACGGGGCCUUCCCCCAUCAAUCACUAACUAAGGAAAUUCUAUACAGUUCAGGUUGAUAUAAACCUAGCCAGAACACUUCUUUAUCCUAAUUUCUUCUCUCCCCUCUUUCUGUCCCUUUGAUUUUUGCUAUUUUCAUAGAUUUUUACUGUUUGCCCUACACUUUAAUAAACUGCUUUUCUCUUGUUGAUUUCACAAUAACACAAACUUAGGCUGUGAAAACAGAUAUUUUCAUACUCAAACAUGAGAAAUUUUCACUUUUAUUGGCCCUGCCAUAUGGAAACUUCAGUUACCUUAGUUAUAUAACAUCAAUCCUUCAACUAUACAGUUGUAUUUCAGGGACCACAGUAUCUGAACUGAGUAAUUGCACACAGUAUAAACAGUUGCUGUUAUGUAAACAGAUGCUAAUCAUGAUUACAGGCAGAAAAUAAAGCAUGUAGGUGUCUCACCUCAUAGUUUCCCAGCUCUUGAAGUAGAUGAUGAAAUACUUUUAUAUUUAAAGAACAAUAUUGUCAGUUGAUUCUCUUGGAGACUAGGGAGUGAAGAAUUUGCUUUUAUCACCAAACAAGUUUACUAGUCAAUUUUGUCAGACAAGGAAUUUUUUUUGUUUUGGUUUGUUUUUAGGGUUUCUCUAUAGCUUUAGAGCCUGUCCUGGACACUCUAUAGACCAGACUGGUCUUGAACUCACAGAGAUCAAGGUGCCUCUGCCUCCCAAGAGCUGGAUUAAAGUCAUGUACAACCACCUCCUAUCGGAAUUUUUUUUAAGUUUCUUCUGCAGUACUGAGGACUGAAUACAUUUAUGCAUUAGGGUAGGAAGUCAAAGUAGACAAUAUCCAUACAUAGAAUAUGGCAUGAACUUUUAGUCCAUUUGCAAGUAACUUGUCAUGAUAAAGAUAAGGAGAGUUACAAUAGAUGACUGUGGUACCUUUCCACUGGUAUGACAAAAAUACCCAAAAUGACUUAAGAAGAGGAAAAAAUGGUUUUGCUCAUGGUUACAGAGGUUUCAGUCCAUGGUUGCUUGGUCCUGCUGCUUUUCAUUUCUAGCAAAGCAGAGCAUCAUGGGUGAGCACAGCACAGGUGCUCACUUCCUGGUGUCCAGAAAACAAGAGAAGAGCUAAGAUCUUAGUGGCUUCUUUGAGGAAUAGCUAGACAACCUGACUUCCCACUACAAGGCCUUAUGUCCUAAUAGUGCCACUUCAGAGGCCUAGGCCUCAGCCUGUGGGCCUAUGCCGGACACUCCAGAGCCAGACUAUAGCACUGGCCAUGGGCAUGAGGACACUGCUGGUUCUGGAGUUAGGCCUCAGCAUAUGUGUAGAAAGUGAUUGCAGUGAAAACCAUGUGGGAGCUCUUAUGUGACAGCAGCAAAGGAAACUUCACUUCAGCAGAAUUCUGUUUUGUUGAAAGCACAAAGGAAAAAUAUGAUGUUUAGAAGAUAAUCUAAACUUAGAAAAAUGAGUGACAAUCCAAACUUAGAAAGAAGUGUGACAACUCAUUAAAGAGCAGAAAGAGGUCUACCAUCUUAUAAAUUAAACAUUGAAAAGCAAGCACUCUUGAAACUAUUCUGGAUAAGCUAGUCAGUUAGUUAGUUGGUUAGUUAGUUUGUUUAUUUACUUAUUUUAUUGAGAUAGAGUUUAUCUGUGCAGCCCCAGCUUUCCUGGAACUCAUUAUGUAGACCAGACUGGCCUCAAACUCUGAGGCCUCCCUAUCAAGUGUUGGUAUUAAAAGCAUAUACCACUAUGUCCAGUUUUUUUAGAAGCUAAGUGCUUUAAUUAAUCAUGUUUAUAUGGCCUUCAUUUACUACAUAAAUGGUAUGUUUAGUUUUUAAAUUCACUUGGUAAUGAAUAAUUUUGUUUGUGUUUUUCAAGACAGCAUUUUUCUGUAUAAUAUCCCUAACUGUCCUGGAGCUAGCUCUGUAGACCAAGCUGAAAUCAAAGUCACAGAGAUCUGCCUGCCUCUGCCUGAUAAUUUUUUAUUUUGUGUUUUAACAGCAAUUUUGAACAAUCAUGGUUUUCCACAUUGACUAAGAUUGUUUCCUAUGGAUGGAUUUACUAUCCAGCCUGGGGAAUGAUGCUACCACAUCCAGGAACACAGGUCUUCCCACCUCAAUGGCCACAGACAAACUUGCUUUAGGAACCAGGUCUGGUGAAGUCCUGGACACUGGCCAAAAGAUGGAGCACAUAAACUGAACAUCACAAAUGCUGUGACUCCAGGCCAAAGAAUGAAGUCCAGACGGGAGAAGGAUCACCAGGUCUGGGAUUUGGGCUGGCAGUGGGACUCCAGAGCCGCUUAAUCACUGCCUGGGAUGGACUCAAAGGCGCAGCUGCCUGACUGAACUUGUCUCACAGAAAUGAGGACUGGUUAAAGCGGAAUCCUGCUGUACACACUCCAUCUUCCUGACAACGGCUGUUGUGUUCUGAGGGCUCAGAAAGCCAUACCCUAAAUAGUGUUUGCGCAUGCCAAAUACUUUGAAGUAAAGGAAGUCAGAAAACCAAAAAGCUGUGUCAGGUCCAAGAUGGCUCUGCCUUAGCCGUAGCCAAGCCACCCAACCAGUCACUCAGGUAAAAGCUUGUCUCUGAAGUCACCUUAUCUGCUCAAAGGCAGAACUGCUGAGAAGAGAACAUAGCUGCCUUUCAGUCUUUUACCGAAAUUUCGUUUUCCAAGCAGGAUUGGACUGAUGUCAAAAAGAGAAGACUGAAAACCAAACACCACACCCAGAGCACAGAGAACUUCCUAGAAGACCAAGAGCAGUCUCCAUAGCUGUUUUUCUUUUAUAAACAUCACUGACCACCCCCCAAUUGCCUCCAGCCCCAUUUGCUUCUCCCUAUGAAGAUGGGUGUGUGGAUUUUUGCAUGCUGCUGUGUUAUUGGAUGCUUACAAGCAUGGAAAAGGGCUCCUGUGCCUUUUCUUCCCACCGCUGGUCUAUCGCCAGUUUAGCCGGGCAGAUUUAGACCAGCAGAUUUGACGACACUAAUCUUCAGAAGAGGAGAAAGAGUUUCCUGCUACCCCAUAUUCACAAGAAACAUUUUGCUCCAUGUGAGGCUCCAUUAAGAAGAAUAACAAAAAAGAUUAAGGCUGUAUUUCUGUUCAAUGAUUUUAGAGAAAGAAGGCAGAAUGGAUCAAUUGAAGUCAAAAUAAUAGUCUUAAAAACAUGGUUAUUUUUAUAAUACAAAAUACCAUCUACUAGAAAAUGUAACAGGCAGUCAAGCACUUAUGCAUGUCUUUAUGCACAGUGCACACACAUACGCAUGUGUGCACAUACACACACAGACACACACGUGUAUGCAUGCACAUACACACACACACACACACACACACACACACACUCAGCUCCCCUAACACAAUGAAAAACCAUCCCUAAGUACAGAUAACUAUGAACAAGGAGAUUCUAAUGAUUAAAAUCUGGAAAAUUAUUGUUUACCUCAUAAAGCCUUUAGGUAAUAUA
Molecule: long non-coding RNA, 3866 nt
Organism: Mesocricetus auratus (golden hamster)
Lineage: Eukaryota; Metazoa; Chordata; Mammalia; Rodentia; Cricetidae
Exons: 4
Source: RefSeq, a predicted model, not a curated record